AUUGAACGCUGGCGGCAUGCUUUACACAUGCAAGUCGAGCGGCAGCGCGGGGGCAACUCUGGCGGCGAGCGGCGAACGGGUGAGGAAUACAUCGGAACGUGUCCCGUAGUGGGGGAUAGCCCGGCGAAAGCCGGAUUAAUACCGCAUAUGCUCUACGGAGGAAAGCCGGGGAACCGCAAGGACCUGGCGCUAUGGGGGCGGCCGAUGUCCGAUUAGCUAGUUGGUGGGGUAACGGCCUACCAAGGCGACGAUCGGUAGCUGGUCUGAGAG
Molecule: ribosomal RNA, 270 nt
Filed under: uncultured bacterium
Lineage: Bacteria
Description: partial 16S ribosomal RNA
Rfam family: Bacterial small subunit ribosomal RNA
Source: RNAcentral